AAAGAAGGACACCAUCAUACUGGGAGAAAUGUUCUGAAACCCUCCUAGUUGCAGCUAUCAAGAAGAGAAAUAUUAAGGUGAAAAAAGGGCUGAACUCUCCUCAGAUUCCUGACAUUACAGAGCAUGGGUUGGGGCAAUCCCAGGCACAGCUACAGGUUGGGUGGAGAAGAGAUUCAGAGCAGCCCUGCAGAGAAGGACUUGAGGGUGUAAGUUGAAGAGAAACUGAACAUGAGCUGACAGCGUGCGCUUGCAGCCCAGAAAGCCAGCCGUAUCCUGGGCUGCAUCAAAAGAAGCGUGACCAGCAGGUCGAAGGAGGUGGUCCUGCCCCUCUACUCUGCUCUCAUGAGACCUCACUUGGAGUAUUGUGUACAGUUCUGGUGUCCUCAACAUAAAAAGGACAUGGAGCUGUUGGAGCAAGUCCAGAGGAAGGCCACGAGGAUGAUAAGAGGGCUGGAGCACCUCCCGUAUGAAGGCAGGCUGAGAGAGUUGGGGCUGUUCAGCCUGGAGAAGAGAAGGCUGUGUGGAGACCUGACAGCAGACUUCCGGUAUCUGAAGGAGGAUCUACAUCCUGAUUUCCUGCUUUAUGCUACUUCUAAUAAGCUGCACAAUGGAAAAGAACCGAGAAAUUAAUUGCCAAAAGCUUGUAUGUGUUGAUAUUGCACAGGAAAAUCUGCUUUUCAUCUUUUUAACCAGCUCACUUCACAAUACAAAACCUAGUGAAGUGACAGCAUGUCAUAGUCUGUGUGAGAGAGGCAUCAAGAUGUUGGAGAGGUUUUCUAAAAUCUGGCAAACAUUCUGAAGAAAGAUCACCCUUGACCUCUUUCUUAUUCACGUUUUGUAAGAUUCUAUUAAAAGCUAUUUUCAAAGUUCA
This 871-nucleotide long non-coding RNA is filed under the name Strigops habroptila (Kakapo). RNAcentral's name for it is "lncRNA (ENSSHBG00005015316.1)". The record is from RNAcentral. Lineage: Eukaryota; Metazoa; Chordata; Aves; Psittaciformes; Psittacidae.